UGUUGAGCGUGAAGUAAAGAAAAAAAAGUGAUACUGAUCAAUAAUGAUGAUAAUGAUUAUUUAUGUUAUGAUUCGUCCUCGAUGUUACAGAAAAAACCGUGUUUAAUAAAAAUUUAAUUUGGACAAACGAAGUAUGUAUCGGCACUCACUUUCGUCAUUGGAAUUAUAACCUAGAUGUUGUCGCACGCGCCGGGGACACGACUCGCACGUGCGUAUUAUCGGACGCGUUAAUUAAGGGGUACCUCUAAUUAAACGUGUUGGACGCGAUCCAGCUUUCUGUCGUAAUCUUUGAUCUGUUAACUGGGCGAUUUGUGUAUGCUAGAGUCGAUGCUGGUCGAAGGUACUCGAGAGGAAUUAUUUUAUGGUAAAUAAACGAUGAUUUGUUGAGAAUAGAAUAUUUGUGAGAUGAGCGAGGAUGAUUUGGGACAGUGUUUCUCCGGUUAACAGAUGAAGAAUAUUGUUUAAGAGAUUGUUCUUGAGAAUGAGAUUUUUUGUUUCAUUUAGGGGUUAAGUUAGGAGGUCCUUUGGUGAUGAUCCAUUUUUUAUCACUGCCAUUCAAUUUAACGAACGUGGAGAUAUUGUUUUCGACGCAACGUCGAAGGUAGAAGUUGAGAUGUUUCUGUGCGUAGGGAGAAAUUGGGAGACGAAUUAUUGAUCGAUGUAGCUUACUUCCGUUGAGGUUGGUCACUUUGAAUGAGUUUCGACUUGUUAACCGGGGAUGGAGGUCGUUGACACGUUGAUUGCUGUGAUGGUCGUCGGUGAUUGGUAUGAUACACAUCUUUGGAACAAUGACAAUACCUUGUCCAACGUAUUGAUAAAUCAUCAGAAAACUUCACGAAAUGGAAAAGAUAAAGUAUCUGAUUGAAUUGCAUUGUUAAUAUUGCACGUUCAGCUGAAUGCCACUGCACAAGGUACCAUUAUUUAGAACAUAGAAAUCUCAAACUAUUGCAAUUCAAUUUAGUUGUGGCCAUCAUGGCAUUCAAUGUGUCAAUAAUUAUUUCCAAUACCAUUUGCCUUUGUUACAAAAGAACAUGUAUUUCUAAAUUCGAAAUUCUCGUGGCAGUCAACGUAUUAACCCUCUAUAGGACCACGUAACUUUCAAGUCACACUAUAUUAGCAUCCUGUUUAACUUCAUCUUGCAAAGUAAUGAAUCAAAUUAUGUAAUUAACUACAAUAAUUAUGUAAUUAUGUAAUUAACUUCAAACUACCAAAUAUAUUGUUAACACGUUCGCGGACAGUAAGACUGAAAAAAUUGGAAAUAAUCCAGCUUUCUGUCGUAAUCUCUAAUUAACUAGGUAAUUACUGCUAUAAAACUCUAAUGACUCUGAUCGGAGGUAAACGAAUAUUCGACACAAAUUACUUUACGGCGGAUAAACAAGAAUAAUUCUCCAAGAGUAGAACACAAUAAAAAUAAUCUUCAUA
This is a non-coding RNA of Nomia melanderi (Alkali bee), 1422 nucleotides long. The record is from RefSeq and is a predicted model, not a curated record. Lineage: Eukaryota; Metazoa; Arthropoda; Insecta; Hymenoptera; Halictidae.